RNAcentral lists this ribosomal RNA (885 nucleotides) under Scytinostroma duriusculum. Its description in RNAcentral is "LSU rRNA". It matches the Rfam family "Eukaryotic large subunit ribosomal RNA", at positions 31 to 922 of the family's 3401-position model. Lineage: Eukaryota; Fungi; Basidiomycota; Agaricomycetes; Russulales; Lachnocladiaceae. The record is from RNAcentral.
AACUUAAGCAUAUCAAUAAGCGGAGGAAAAGAAACUAACAAGGAUUCCCCUAGUAACUGCGAGUGAAGCGGGAAGAGCUCAAAUUUAAAAUCUGGCAGUGUAAAAGCUGUCCGAGUUGUAAUUUCGAGAAGUGUUUUCUGUGCCAGACCGUGUACAAGUCUCCUGGAAUGGGGCGUCAUAGAGGGUGAGAAUCCCGUCUUUGACACGGAAUUCAUAUGGUGCUCUGUGAUACACUCUCAAAGAGUCGAGUUGUUUGGGAAUGCAGCUCAAAAUGGGUGGUGAACUCCAUCUAAAGCUAAAUAUUGGCGAGAGACCGAUAGCGAACAAGUACCGUGAGGGAAAGAUGAAAAGCACUUUGGAAAGAGAGUGAAACAGUACGUGAAAUUGCUGAAAGGGAAACGCUUGAAGUCAGUCGCAUUGGCCAGAAUUCAACUGUCAACUCGUUGGCAGUGUAUUUUCUUGGUGAAUGGGCCAGCAUCACUUUUGGCUCGCCGGACAAGGGCAGGAGAAAUGUGGCACUCUUUUAUUAGGGUGUGUUAUAGUCUCCUGUCAUAUACGGUGGCUGGGAGUGAGGACCGCCUUUAUUGUAGGAUGCUGGCGUAAUGGCUUUAAUCGACCCGUCUUGAAACACGGACCAAGGAGUCUAACAUGCAUGCGAGUGUUUGGGUGGUUAAAACUCAUGCGCGCAAUGAAAGUGAACAGUGGGGAAGGCUGUCAUGGCCUGCACCCAUGCCUGGACUUGAGAUUUAUCGACGUUCUACGGUCGAGCAUGUAUGUUGGGACCCGAAAGAUGGUGACUAUGCCUGAUAGGGUGAGCCAGAGAAACUCUGGUGGAGGCUCGUAGCGAUUCUGACGUGCAAAUCGAUCGUCAAUUUGGGUAUAGGG